GACAGAGCGCGCGGGCGUUAUUCGUUUUGAUUGGGUGUAAAGGGUACGUAGGCUGCUGCUGAAAUUUUUGGUCUAAAUCGCGGAGUGUUCCUACGCGUCAAUCUUUUAAAGACGCAGCUUGAAUUGAAAAGAGGUUGGGGCAAUUUCUUGUGAAGGGGUAAAAUCCUACUAGAUAAGAAAGAACACCGGUUGGCGAAGGCGCCUUUCUAAUUUCAAUUGACGCUAAGGUACGGAAGCCUGGGUAGCAAAUAGG
RNAcentral lists this ribosomal RNA (253 nucleotides) under uncultured bacterium. RNAcentral describes it as "partial 16S ribosomal RNA". It matches the Rfam family "Bacterial small subunit ribosomal RNA", at positions 524 to 776 of the family's 1533-position model. The record is from RNAcentral.